GAUGAACGCUGGCGGCGUGCCUAAUACAUGCAAGUCGAGCGAACAGAUGAGGAGCUUGCUCCUUUGACGUUAGCGGCGGACGGGUGAGUAACACGUGGGUAACCUACCUAUAAGACUGGGAUAACUUCGGGAAACCGGAGCUAAUACCGGAUAACAUUUGGAACCGCAUGGUUCUACAGUGAAAGAUGGUUUUGCUAUCACUUAUAGAUGGACCCGCGCCGUAUUAGCUAGUUGGUAAGGUAACGGCUUACCAAGGCGACGAUACGUAGCCGACCUGAGAGGGUGAUCGGCCACACUGGAACUGAGACACGGUCCAGACUCCUACGGGAGGCAGCAGUAGGGAAUCUUCCGCAAAGGGCGAAAGCCUGACGGAGCAACGCCGCGUGAGUGAUGAAGGUCUUCGGAUCGUAAAACUCUGUUAUUAGGGAAGAACAAAUGUGUAAGUAACUGUGCACGUCUUGACGGUACCUAAUCAGAAAGCCACGGCUAACUACGUG
RNAcentral lists this ribosomal RNA (497 nucleotides) under uncultured bacterium. Its description in RNAcentral is "partial 16S ribosomal RNA". It matches the Rfam family "Bacterial small subunit ribosomal RNA", at positions 28 to 507 of the family's 1533-position model. The record is from RNAcentral.